RNAcentral lists this ribosomal RNA (325 nucleotides) under uncultured eukaryote. RNAcentral's name for it is "partial 18S ribosomal RNA". It matches the Rfam family "Eukaryotic small subunit ribosomal RNA", at positions 1470 to 1796 of the family's 1831-position model. The record is from RNAcentral.
CCCUUAGAUGUUCUGGGCCGCACGCGCGCUACACUGACGCAUUCAACGAGUCUAAAACCUGGUCUGAUAGGGCUGGGUAAUCUUUUGAAUGUGCGUCGUGAUUGGGAUAAAUGAUUGUAAUUCUUCAUUUUCAACGAGGAAUGCCUAGUAAACGCAAGUCAUCAGCUUGCGUUGAUUACGUCCCUGCCCUUUGUACACACCGCCCGUCGCUCCUACCGAUUGAAUGCUCAGGUGAGCCAUUCGGACUUUCAUCAUGCUGGUUUCCAGUUUUGAUGAAGGAAAGUCUUGCGAACCUUAUCAUUUAGAGGAAGGAGAAGUCGUAACA